RNAcentral lists this long non-coding RNA (18057 nucleotides) under Heterocephalus glaber (naked mole-rat). Its description in RNAcentral is "lncRNA (ENSHGLG00000038710.1)". Lineage: Eukaryota; Metazoa; Chordata; Mammalia; Rodentia; Bathyergidae. The record is from RNAcentral.
UCUUUCUUUCUUUCUUUCUUUCUUUCUUUCUUUCUUUCUUUCUUUUUCCUCCCUCUCUCCCUACCUCCCUUCCUUCCUUCCUUCCCUUUCCUUUCCUUUCUCUUUCUUUCUUUCUUUCUUUCUUUUCUUUUUCUUUCUUUCUUAAAAUGGAGGUUUUGCUAAUUACCCAGGCUAGUUUUAAACUUGUAACCCUCCUGCCUUAGUCUCUGCAGUGGCUAGGAUUACAGAUGUACACCACUGUACAAGAUCUGACCCUAUUCUUUAUGGAGGACUAUAGUAUAAAAUGUCAAAAAUUCAAGAAUAUUAGAGUAGAUUAUGUGAAAUCAUGCACUUACAAUAAUAAUUUUCAUGCAAUAUUUUCCUCCUUGUCACGUUUUGGAGGAGGAAUAGAAGGUGAUGGUUUUAUUCCUUCUUUUUUUUUAAAUGGUAGCUUCUAGUGAAUUUCUCCCUGUUAAAAAUUAAAAUUGCUACCUUUUACUACUUUUAAUCUUCUUUCUCUAAUUUGCUUUGUUUUAUUGUAUUUAUUACCAUAUGACGCACACAUAUUCAUAGGUGUAUGAGUAAGUGUGAAAUGUGCCUUCCUGCCCUUAGUGGAAAGGACUGUGUUUUUAAUAUUUGCACAUCAUUUACUCCAUUGAUGAUGUAAAAUUGUAUUUCUAAAAUUACAAUGGUAUAGAGGGGUACUCAUAAAUAUUUCUUCAAUAAAUGAGUAUUUCUCAGUGAUUUGAGAUUCUGCUUUACCCACAUAGUUCUUCUGUGAUCCACCAUGUAGGAUUGAGAAGGGUUAGUUUAAUAGAUGAUGAAAUGUUCAUUGGAAUACAUUAUGAAGCAAAUUUUAGGGGUGCCUGUCUGUUGAAGGUGAGAAUUUGGUAAUUUCCCAGAAUCAGAUGAGGUCCCUGUAAAUAAAAACAGAGAAAAUAGCUACUAGAGUAGUCCUUAUGGAAGGAAUCAGCUCUUUAGACUCGAGUAGCAUUUGAUGAGCCAGAUCUACAUUGUUCUACAUCUUUAUUUUAAUUUAUUAAACUUUAACUUUAAAUUAUAUGGAAUCUAAAGGGUUUAAUUCAUAGAAGUAAAAAGUAGCAGAUUUUAUAAUUUCUUAAAGGCAUUUUAAGUGAUCAGCCAUUCCUGGUUAGAGUUUUCUCUAGUUUUCCUAAGAGGUCUAUUAUUGGUUGAGACAUUUUAAUAUUUAAUAGUUACUAAAGAUUUUAUAAAAUUAUAUCUUACUUUUCAACUGUCAGGUCUUUUGAAGGUAGGCACAUUUCCAGUGAGGGUACAUUGCUCCUUAUACAGUAGUGGUCAAUAAAUUUAUGCAAAUUGAUUUGAUAUUCUUCUGGGAAAAUAGGGACUUGAAUGAACACUUGAGGAGCAUCUAAAAAUAUAUCAAAGAUUCAAAACAAACACUAAUAUGCUCUAUCUAUGUUACUCUUACAUAUAUAUACAUUUGUACCUGCCUGAUAAGAAUAGAUGUUCAGAAAAUACCACCAAGGUCACUUAGAAAGCAAUCCAGACUGAGUUGAAAGGGUGAUAAAAUGGCUUAAUAAUUUUAAAUAGGCAGAGUUUGAUGAUUUCAGUGGUUUCCUUAAGAACAAUUUAUGCUAUGAUUGUUUUUCACUGAAAGUAGAAAAUAGUAAAACCAGCAAAGUUUCAUUUUAUUGCCACAUCUCUCAUUAUUUCAGCAAAAAAUCUAGGCCAAAUCUAAAUUUAAGGUAAUGUGUAAGUGAUUCUAACUUGUUCCAUGGUAAGUCUGUGACCUCUGGCUCUUACAGGCUAAAAAAUAUGAGACACAGGCUCUUUCAGCUCAAAGAAAGAAGCCAUGUCUCACUAAAGAGUCAGAGAGAUAUUCUGUUUAGUGCACACGAUUUUAGAUGAGAGUUUACCUCUCCUCUAUCUUGGUUUUCUGCCCUUAUUGAUUUUUUUUUGAAUACCAGAAAUGCUUUCAAACUUCUGCCAGAAAAUGAGUCUCUGUAGAGGAAGACAAAGCUAUUUUGAGGAGAAUAGAGGUGUUCAAUCAAGAUGAUAUCUCUCUGGCCAUGAAGCAUCUUUUAAAUUAGAUUCCUGUGCAUUUAGUCUUUAACACUUCACCUAAUUAUACUGUUUAUUUUUUUGUUUUUGUUUUGCUUUCUUCCAAGUAAUUUUCUUAAAUUUAAAAUAACACUAGAAAAGAUCUCAUUACAAAGUGUGAUGUUGUCUUUUGAGACAGUUCAGUUCUUAGAAAAUGCACAUCAGUCAGCAUACACAACUAACAAUUCUUAUUCAGUAGAAACGUUGACUUCUCUGAAAACAUUUACAUUCCCCCACUUCCUGACCUUCUGUUCUUUUCUUUAGGGAUCAAUACUUUGACCUUUCAUCUGUACAUAUGUCUCCAAAAUAUUUAUCAAUAUUAACUUUCUUCAGUGCUCCAGACACUUACAUAUAUAUGUGUGUGUGUGUGUAUAUAUAUAUAUUAUUCCUUAUUAUAAAUCUAAAUUAUAAAUCAUUGCUUUGAUUUCAUACAAGACCUGAAGUAAGCAUUGCUUCACUUUCACACUUUCACUUUCACUUCACUUUCACUUUCACUUCCUAAGCACUCUUAAUAAUAACACUGACGUGUGCUGUGGAUAAAGAUGAUGCCAAUGGGAGACAGAAAGUACACUGGAGCCAGCACACCGGUCAAUCUGGAGUGCAGAGCAAGAUGGAUGUUCUAGAAGAUGUUCAGCAUGGAUACUGAUCUGCAUUGGGAAUAAAUCCAUUCUCUUCACUUGACCAGGAAUUUGAUAAUAUACUUUUUCAAUGACAUCACUUGUAUUCUUCAGUUUUUAUUUGCUCCCAGUAAUUUGUGGUUUCAACCAUCACUUAUUUUGUCUCAUAGAAGAUGUUUUCUGUAAGGAAUGUCAAAAACUUAUAAGACAAUCGUUUUAGCUGAAUAAAACUUCUGAUAAGUGUCUGAAGAAUUGAUAUUCUUCAUUCCUCCUGCGUAAUAUCUCAGAACCAGAGUUUACACUCUCCAUGAUUUUUUAUUAAGGUAGAAAUAUACUUAAUGCUUCCUUAUGGAACUAGAUAUUUUAAUAGAGAAUAUUCUUAUACAGACAUAUUCAAUGGAUAGAAAAAAAUAAAAAUGCUCACCAUAUUUUAAUAUUAUUUCAAAAUCAAAUAAGAACAAUUAAUUUUCUGUGAAUGUGAGUGUACCUGCUGGGUAUCAAUAAGAUUUUGUAGAAAAGAUUGUACUCAGCAAGCCUAACAUUAAAUUCUGACUCCACCUGAAAUCCCAGGUCUACUACUUUUAAAAUUAGUUCGGAUAAGCCACUUAACCUUUUGAAUGCAAGCUUUAUUUAUUUUUUAUUUUUUAAUUUAAUUUAAUUUAUUUAUGUGUAAGCUUUAUUUUUUAAAGGACAAUAAUGCCUAUUCAAUACAUUUAUCUUAAAAGUUAGAGGUAAUUUGGUACAGUAACCUGAAUAUAAAAGAUACUCUAAUAAGAAUAGCUAAGAUUUUCUAAGGUUGUUUUUAUUAUACCAAAACACCUUUACAAUUAUUUUGAUGAAUAAUUCUUAAUGUCUUGCUACCAUAAGUUUUCACUGUCUAGUAUACAAUAUGUUAGCCAUUUUUCACUCAUUCACUUAUUCAACCAGCACUGACUGAACAGAGUUAUACAUAAGAAACUAUGCUAAGAAAUGGAUGAAAAAUAUUUAAAUUCUUUUCUUAUAAGAGUUCCACCUUUAAGUAGCGAGACAGGCAAGUAUAAUAAACAUUUGCAAGAAAAUGUAGCAAACAUUUUAACUCAGCUAUCUGAAGAGUUACAGUGCUAUUUACAUGAAUUGUUUUUUUUAGUGUUAUUUGAGUGUGUUCCUCUUUUUGAUUGGGCAGGGCUCCAUUUCAAGUCCUUACUUCUAGGUUUGAUGAAAUGCUUGCUAUCCUUUUUUAGGAUCCUUUUAUUCUGAGUCUUUAAAAAUUAGAAAUAUAAUUUUUUUCAUUAGUAAGUACUUUAAUUCACACAAAGACAAGGUCUAGGAGUGGAAGACACCGAUCAUCCAGACAAUUGUUGAAAGCUACAUUCAAACUGAUACAGUCAUCUGAUGCAUUCUUUUUCAAAGCAUUUUCACUGAAGCACAAUUCAAAUAGUUUGAUAAUUUUGAAAUAUGUUUAUAUCUAUACAUCUCUUAUAACAAUGACAAAAUAAACAUAUCUAUCAUCCUUUAAGUUUAGUUUUGUCAUUUUACAAUUUCUUCUGCCUGUCCCUUCCUGCCCCCUUUCAUCCCUAGGAAAUCACUGAUAUGUUUUCUGUCAAUUGUAGCUUAAUUUAUAGAAUUUUAUUUAAAUGGGAUCAACAAUGUAUACUCUUUUCAUUUUGUCUAACUUUUAAAGGUAGCUUAUUUUAAUUAUCUAUGUAUUUAUAUGUAUCAAUAAUUCAUUUGUUUUAAAAAAUGAUAUUCUAUUUUGUGACUAUAACACAAUUUGCUUGUUGAUUUUGAAUUUCUAGAUUUUGGUGACAAAGAUCCAGUCUUGGUAAGUACACAAUAAAUCUGUGGGUAGGAGCUUUUGUUUCUUUUGCAUCGACACCUUGGUGGAAGUGCAAUAAAAGGUAAUUAAAAUUAUAUAUUUGAUUUUUAAGAGGCUGCCAAAUUAUUUUCCAAAGUGGUUGAACAAUUUUUAAAUUGCACCAGCAGUGUGUGGGUGUUCCAUACAGUCCACAUUCUCAGUGAUUCCUAACACUGUCACUUUUUAACUAUUCAACAGGUAUUUAGUGUUAUCUCAAGUAGUUUUAUUGUGCAUUUCCCUAAUAAUUAAUUGCUUUGAGUUCAAGUGAUUGUAUAUCAUGUUUCUGAUUGGUUAGUCUUCCUAUCAAAGCAUAUUUUGACUGUUUUUUUUUUUUUAGGUUUAUGGCCUUUUUUACUUUUUAUAGUAUACAUUUUGUUAUUUUAUUCUAACACAUUCUCGUAUUAUAAAAGCAAUUUAGUGGGAGAAGCUUCCUUUUGAUAUUUGAAUGAUCUGAAUACAAUCAGAACUAUACCUUUAAAAAUAUCUCUGGGGCUGGGGAUUUAGCUCAUUGGCACCAUGCCUGCCUUGCAAGUGCAAGGUCCUGAGUUUGAUCUCCAGUACCGAAAAAUAAAUAAAUAAAUAAAUAAAUAAAUAUAAAAUAAAAUAAAAAUAUCUCUGGAUAACAACAACAACAAAAAGACAAAUAACAGAAAAAAUUGUCCUUUUUGAUGGGGGGGACAUUGAAGUCUACUUAAUUCAGUUUUCUUUUUAAAAGCAUCAUAAAAAACAAAAAGGUGCUUAAACCCUAAGGAAGAUGAAUAAAAAAUAUGUUUAAUAAACUACAAGUCUCCAUUACCAUUUUCUGUUGUUUUAAUGCAGGUUCUUCUUUGUUUCUACUCUUGCUCUUUUCACUGGUCCAUUGGCACCAUUUUCAUCAUGUUCUUUCUCACUAUCAAAUUUUGUUUUCUGGCCCUGAAACUACAUUUGCUUUAGCAGUCCCAGACUGGGCAGUUUUGUUUCCUUUUUCCUUUAAAUCUUCAACCUUUUGAUUUCCACUUGUUUGAGGAUUCUUGUUGAUCUAUAAGUUUUUUCAAAGCUUCUUUUUCCAACUCUCCUUCCAGUACUUCCCAUAUCACUUCUUUAUUUCUUAAUUGUUGACUGCCACUGUUUGCAUGUUUGGCUUUAUCCAGGGUUUCCUUGGCUUUUUCCUUAAAUAGAACCAUUCCCUCUUUUGCUUCUCUGACAAAGUAUAUACAUUAUAUUUCACCCUGAAAUGAGCAAAGGGUGUUCAAAUUUUCUCUACACAUUUGAACAUCAAAGUCACACAAAAAUUUAAGCAAGAAUCCAGUCUUUUCUUCUAGAGAUUUCAUUUUGGCAUCUUCUGCUAAUUUCUGUUUUCCUUCUUGCUAUUGUUUAGCUCUUAAUUUAGCUUCCACUUUAUUUUGCUUUCCUUCAUCAUUUUUCUUUGUAAAAUAAUCUUUCUUAGCAUGUAUUAGCAGGUCUGUGUCUUUAUACUUAUAACUUGCAGUUUCUACAAUCUUCUUAGCAGAUUCAUUGCUCUGAAACACAGCAAAUAUCCAUCCCUCAAAUGUUCUCAUCUGGAAUUUUAGUACUUGGCCUUUAUUUUCUACCUAUUCUUUAAUGUCAUUGAGGGUUAAAUCAGUUAUGAAACCUUUUAUAUAAAAAAUCUGAUUUUUGCAUCAUUUUUAUUCCCGUUGAUCACUUCAGGGAGGGUUUUGUUUGGAGAUCUUCAGGUUUUAGUUUUAUCUUCACUAAUUUUCAUGAGUUCUGCAUUAGAUUUGCUUCAUACUUCCAUUAUUACAUUAAAGCCUGUUAUUAGUUGGAUCAUCCUGUUGAAUUUUAUCAUUAUUUCCAAGAGUACCUAUCCUUAAUGCAAUUUUAUCUGUGCCUUUAAAAAUUUGUUCCAUGGCAAGUUGAAGUCUCCAAAACAAUACUCCAUUUGACAACAGAUUCUGACUUCCAGAGGAGCUAUUUUUUCAUUACAGUAUCACCAUUUUCAGCCAUUCGGGUAAUCUUUAAGCCUCUGGUCCCGUAUGCAUGCCACUGACAACAGAGAACUUCCCACUUCUCAGUGCUGCUGGCUUAAGCAAGUUGUAUGACUUUUAACUUAUUUUGUUUCACAAGUCUUUAUAUGUUCUUGAUAUACCUUUAUCAAAUUACUGCAUAUGAUUUGCAGUAUUUACUCCUAAUCAGUGGCUUGUAUGUGUGGUUUUUGAAAAUCAAAACUCUAAAUUUGGUGAAGUCUAUUUUUUCUUACGGAUUGUAUAUUUGUCUUAUAGAUAAGCUAUUGCCUACCCAGAAAAAUUUUUCCCUACAUUUUUCUUUAAAAGUUUUAUUGUUUUAACACUCACAUUUAGACCUAUGGUACAUUUUCAUUUAAGUUUUACCUGCAGAAUGGCCAGAAUUUCAAGUACUGUGCUGUAGCCACCAAACACAUUAACAUCACCUGUGUUAGAACAGGUUGAACAGAACUAAGGAUUAUUAGAAAUUGGAGGGAUAAGAAAAAUAUAUGACAAAGCCAUGAGAUAAAAAUUUUAAUAUGCUUAACUGAUGACAUAUGUGUGAACCUAAUGAUUAAGUGCAUAAAUUCAGGGUUGGUAAAGCAUAGCUUAACAGUGAAACCAAUGUGAACAAAAUAAAUCAAUAACUUUAGAGAUAUUAAGGGUAGGAAUAACAAAUCAUUUUAUGAAACAGAAAUGCCAUUUGGCCAAGAAUAGAAUAGUACUCAAGUCUGUUCUCAUCCGCUUGUCCACUUUUUUCUUCAUGAACUUUAAUUGUCAUUCAUUCCCUUUGGAUCCACAGGUUUUCUCUAACAUGAAGUGCUUAUUCUUCAAACUGUGUACAUUGAAAUAUGUGGACUGAAGCUAUUCUCUUCUAACUCAAGUUACUAAUAAUUCAAGUUUAAAUCUUACACCCUGGUUGAGUCUUAGUCACUCUGCCUUCAAGAAGUUUCUCUUCUUCUGGCAGAGUAAGAAGAUACUUCUCUGUCUAUCACUUUGAUCACACCUCUGUCACAGCAUUGAUUGUACAUAAGUAUUCAGCUUUCCCACAUCAUAUUCAAUUUUGAAACCUCUUCAGGUGAAGAGAUAUAGCUAGAUACAGCUCUUUAAAAUGGGAUGGCUGACCACAGCUUAUUUAGAGAGGAAAAGCUUCUCAUUUAAUAGAUAAUUGAAUGAAUUAAGAGACUUUGUAGGAGACUUAAUCUCAAAUUUAAGAUUGAAGGAAAUACGUUAUCUGGAGGACUUUGAGGAGAUAGGAUCAGAUUUUAUAUAUCCAGAGCAUAAUAUUAAAAUCAUUAGAUAAAUAUGAGGUUUUCAGAUAUUUUUAGUACCAGAGAUUGAACCAAUACUAAAUUGUACAUGCUAAGCAAGUACUCUUACACAAAGACAUCUUUAUUCUUUUUUAAUUUUUUGAAAACAGCAUAAUAAUAAAUUGCCUAGGCUGGUCUCAAAUUUGUAGUAUUCCUGUCUCAGCCUCCCAAGUAGCUGAGAAUACAGGUGUAUGCUAUCAAGCCCAGGAAGAAUGAUCUAUUUUAAGAGAUAAUUCCUAUCAGCAGGGUUUGUUAAAUAUGUGUUCUGUAUCUAGUUGGCAGGAAUGUUACAAAGUCAAAAAGUUGGAUGAGUUGGGAGAAAAGUUUAAUUAUAAAAACCGUUGUGACAUUUACGCUUACUUGUCAUCUGGGUUAAGAGAGUCUGGAGAAGUGAUUUGAUCAUGGGGGUUCUAUAUUAAUCAAUGGCAUAAUCCACUGAUAUUCAUAAUAGAAUGUACUGUUAAGUGAGUACAGUCCGGUUGGAGAUGAAUCACUGGGGGAAUGCCUUUGGAGGGUAUGUCUUUUUCUGAAACCUCCCCCCUCGGACUUCCUUCCCAACUUUCAAGAAUUAAGCAGUUUUUCUUCCCCACACCAAUUUGCCAUUAUGUUUCUGCCUUGGAGCCAGCUAGCCUUGGACUGAUCACUUUGAAAGUGCAGGUGUCUGCUAUGUUGUCCUAUCAACAAGAAAGCUGACCAAGACAAUAAAUGGUUACUGAGAAGUGAUGUUGUUGCUGUGACUAUAUCUGACUGUGCUGUUUUGAAGGAGGUGUUCAGAAAGGUUUGAAGAUGUGAACUAGAGAAGCCCUAAAAUGUUGUAAGCAGAACUCUGGCUAAUUCUGGACAAUUCUCAGAAAACCAGAAUGCUGCUAGCAAUGUAAAGAAUUUAGGCAAGGCUCAAGAGGUUUCAGUUGGGAAUGAGGACCCUAUUGGGGAUUGGACUAGAGACCAUGUGUACUAUAUUAUAACAACAAUUUUCCUACUCUGAGGCCGAAUUUAAAGAUUUUGGUCUAAUCUGAAAAGGAAACUUCACAGCAGCCUAACAUUUAGGCUGUUUCAUGGGUACUGCUGGCCACUUUUAGCCAGGUUUAUAAGGAAAAUCAAGGACAAAAAGCAGAGCAGAAAGAUUUGAAACAGUUAAAAAUUAUGACUCCUAAGAGGAUCACAAGUAAAGUGGGAAUAAAGGAGAUGUAGUUGCUAAAGAGAUUAGUGUCCUUAAAAACAACCAAGUACUUUGAAUAAGUAUAGGAAGAAAGAUUCCUUGUAUUUUAAGAUCAACAAAAUCUCAUUCAUCGCAGAAGAGAGCUCUUGGGCCCUUGACUUAAAAGCCUGCUAUAAAAUUGGUUCCCUGCAUCUUAUUUCACCAUGUUCAGCCAUCUCUUGGCACUGAGAGGUCACUGCAUUCAUGGUCCAAGGAGGCCGGACUACUUCUUGAACUGGCAGCAAACUUUGGCAUUUUUCAGAUGAUCCUGGUUGUUGAGGCAUGCAAGAUACAAAAGUUGUGGGUCAUAGAGCCUUUGACUCAUAUUUCAAAGGAAGACUUGGGAAGCCAAGCAGUAAGUCCCUCAGAGGAGAAUGGAUGAAGGUGUUAGAAUGAAGCAGAAGGUGGAGAGGAUUACCAAGGGAUUUAGAGAUUCCAGGAAUACUGACCAUCUACCAAGGAAAGCUGCAGGAAGUUAGGAAAGCCAGCCUAAGAGAGUGAGUGUGUGAGCUUUAGCCAUCAAUGCCAUGGGGGUGAGGUUGUCCAAACCUUCUGGAACUCCUAUCUUAUUAACAUGUACAAUGGACACUGAAAAUGGAACUAUAAGACUUACUGUUAACACUGCUAAGUUUUGGUCUUGCUUUGAUCUGAUUCUUGUCUAUCACCCUAUUCUUCCCUUUUGGAAACUGAAUGUUUAUCCUGUGUUAUUGUAUCUUGGGAACAUGUAACUUCUUUAUGAUUUUUACAGGGGUUUAUAAUUAAGAGUUUGCCUUUAGUCUCGCAGAGGAUUUUGACACGGACUACUGAGUUAUGUUGGAACUUUUGACUUUGGGGAAAAGACUAGUGUAUUUUGUUUGUUUUCAGGAUAGUUAACAUCAUGUUAUGACCUUGUUGUUAUUGUUUUUUUACAUUAAAUAUGCUUUAAGGACAUGUGCUUGGGUGUCAAAUUGACAAUGGGUGAAACAUAGUGAUUAAGUUUUAUUGUCAACUUGACUGGCUCAAGAGAUGCCUGGAGAGGUGAUUAGAUCAUGGGGAUGAUAUAUUCAUCAGUGAAUUAGUACAAUGGUACUCAUACUUGAAUAUACUGUACAGAAGUGGGGCUCAGUCAGAGAUGGGUAUGUCUCUUGCUGGCAUUCUUAUCCUGUGGUUGGCUUACUGGCCUCCAUGAACUGAGUAUCUUUUUUCUGUCAUGCUCUUUUGCCAUGAAAUAUCUGUGUUAGAACCGGCCAAUUAUAAACUGAACCUCAGAUAUGUCUGAAACCUGAAACCCAAGUCCAAAUAAACAUCCUUUCCUUUAAGUUGCAGGUGUCUGAUGUUUGUUUUGUUUAUCAGCGUUGGGAAAACUGACACAUAGGAUUAUUUAAAUUUGGCACCCAGAAAUCUUUAUUUCUUCAGACAUUGUCUAAGACUUUCAGAUAUUUCACAAAUGCCUCUUCCUUUUCAUUCUGCUUCAUACCAUUCCAUUAUAUUAUAAUAUUUGAUUUGACUGCCAUUACUGCCCUUUGAAAGGGGCCUGUAUAUCAAUAAAUGCAGUUUAGUUCUAAAUUAGCAAUUUAAAUAUAAUUUAUAACUUUUAAAACUUAUUUUUUAAAACAGAAAGAUAGUGGAAGACUCCUACCUUAACUUUAUACUUGCUCAAAUCUUUCUGUGAAAACCUUUUACUUAUAGAAUUAUAGAUGAUGCCUAAAAGUUAUUGAACAUGUACCAGCUUGUUUCCACCAUACACUAUUUUCUUUCUUAUUUAAUCUUCACUGCUAUCCUAUGAAGUAUUAGAAUUACUCUUAUUUUCUGGGGAAAUUAGCUCAAUAUUAUUUAAUUGGAAAGUAGUCAAAGUGAUAUUCAACCCAUGUCUGAUUCUAAAAUCAAACUGUUAAACAUGACACUAUUUUUACUUUCUCUCUAAACAGCUUAUUAUGACUCUUGAAAACUGCAUUAUGCUCAAUGUUUGCCAACCUCCAUUUCUUAUUGACAAUUGCUGUACAGAAAUUUAUUUUAGAUAAAUUGGUCUAUGGAUUAUCCCUCAAAUACUUUUAAUGUAUUCUUCAUUUAACAGGGCAACUUUCUUCACUUUUCUGAACUUUAGCUUAGGUUAUAUAAAAUGAAUAUAAUACUACCGCAUGGUGUGGUGGCACAUGCCUAUAAUCCUAGCUCUUGGGAGGCUGAGGGAGGAGGAUUGCUGAGUUCAAUGCCAAACUGAACUAUAUAGCAAGACCCUACCUCAAAACAAAAUACUGCUUAUUUAAUAGGGCAUUUGUGAGGAUUAGAUAGAACACUUGCAUAAAGUCAUUACAUAGUUCAAGAAUAUAGUAAAUUUUCAAUAAAUAUUCACUGCUAUCAUUCUCAUAGUCAUUAUUAUUAUACUUACAAUUAAAUUGAAUGCAUAUAAAUAUAAAAGUAUACCAUGCAAGUUUACAUUUAAACCUGGUAACUAUUAUGAAUACAUUGUAAUCCUUUUGUGAAGGGAUCUCUACUUGUGGAUUUACUGAAUUUUGCUAGUCUAUUUUGAAGAAGUGCCUUGUAAGAAAAACUUUUUGAGGGGCACUUACUAAAAUUAGUCUACUUUAGAAUAUUACCUUAUUAUUUGUUGAUUAAUGUAGUAUUAGCUAUAUUUGCAGUAGAUUUGUAAUAUUAUGUGUUGAAUUUUAACCAAUAACUUUAUUUUGAGAUAAGUUGGUCAUUUUUCCAUUUAGUGUUAAGGUAUCUUUAGACAAAAUUGGUGAAUCUUAAUAUUGUGAAAAUAAAUGAUAAAAUUCUAGAAAAAUAGAAAAAGUAUUUAGUAAGACCAUAUUCUGAAUUAGGGAAUAUGAGACAAUUGUCUUCUUUUUUUUAAAUAGUGAUUUAUAUUAGGAAAUUUAUAUCUGGAGUAAAAUGAAACAGGAAAUUAUAAUUUUAAUAGAAGCUUGUAUAUUUAUAUUUUCAUAUUUUCUCCAGUAUGAAGCUUAAAACAUGAAGCAUUUACUUACAAAUUGCAGGAAACAUAAAAAUAUAUCAUGUAGUUAGAGAAUGUAAUGAAGAUGAUAUUGAGAUAAAAUUGGCUGGAGAUAUAAGUAGGAAGGAUGAAAAGCAGAAAGAUUCAGACCUCAGUGCAAUCAGAAGACUGUCAAACUUCACUGAUAUCUCAAUGCAGUUUGUAGAUUGAUGGAUGCUGCUAAUAAUAUAUCAAUGGAAAUGUCUGUGGCAAUGCUGGAUAUGUUUUUAUCAGUGUGAGAAAGGAUGUCUGUUAAGAUUGAUGUAAAUGUUUUGCAGGCUGCUCUCAUUGUUCCUAAAUGCUUUUGAUCAUCACUUCCAGGGUCUAUGCCUCAUUCUCUCUGUGACUUUGAUUUUCAGAUGGUUUAUAAACAUGAUUUACCUGCUCUUCUUCACUUUUUUAUGCCUUAUUGUUUCAGGUUAUAUUAUGGGUGCUGUGUGAGUGUGUAUGAUGAACAUGUAUGUUCAAGGACAAAAGGCAUGCAUAUGUAUUAUUUUCCUGCUCUUAUUGGAAUCAUCUGCAACUUUCUGUUUUCAUUUUGUCUUUUUUAAGACAUAUGAAAAAUAUUUUACUACCAACAACAAAUAAAUUAUUAGGUCAUAUGGUGGAAAAGAUCAUCUCUAAUAACUAUGUGUCAUAUAAUAUCAAGACUAAAAUAUGCUCAGCUGAAUAGAAACAAAGAAAACAAUAUCUAUCUUUUAAGUUUUGUUUUCAGUAAGUCAGACUUUUUCACAAUAAAAGCUUCCUAAAUUGGAGGAGAUCUUUAUUUAAAAUAAUACUAGAUACUAUCAAAACUCUUUCAGCAAUCUGAGUAUGUAUGCAUAAGAUUUCCUGAAUUUAUAAAUCUACCUUUGGUGGAAAGAAGCAGUUCUAAGAAACAUGUAUCAUGUUAAGCUAUUUCCAUCUGGGCCGAGAGUACAAUCUUCCUAUGAGAACUGUUUCUAUGGAUGAAAUGAACUAUGUUUUACCCUUUGUAGCUAAGUGAUGUGCACAUGACAUAACAUAUUUUAGAUAAAAAAUGUUUUUGAAUUUGAUGAAUUAAAAUAUAAAAAGUAGAUUUCUACCUGUUUUUCUAAUGAAACAGAGUAUUUUCUUCCUUCCUAGAAUGGACUGAGCACUUCUGUUGCAGAUGUAAUACAGAUAUAUCACAUUUGCAUUGGAUAUGUAAUAUAUAUAUGAAACAUACAUAUUAUAUAUAUGAAACAUAUAUAUGCAUAAGGCAUAUGUAUUUUUCAGUGAGAAAUGUUUUAUUUAAAGUAAAUGGUGGUUAAAAGAAUGAACAAGUAUUUUAGUAUUUCCAAUAAAUUGGCUUAUGCAUUAGAGCAAAUAUUAAAAUAAUGGAAGAUAAAUUACGUUUAAAAAAUUUUAAAUUUUAAUCUGCAGCUUUUACUUAAUUCCCCAUUGGGUUCAGUACUGUCCAGUGUAUAAUGCUGAAAAUAUUCUUCAAGUAAAAUUAAAAUUCAUAUAAAUCACAUAUUAAUUGUUUUCCACAAGACAAUUGGUUUAACUCCAGUUUUAUCAAAGUAAAUUAAAAGUAUUAAAUUUGGGAAAAUGUAAACAAGAUAUAGUAAAACUGUCCAAAUUAUGAGAUAGAGCAUAGAAGCCCGAAGUAAGGAUUAAUAAUGAAUAACUGAUACUUUGAAAUAGGAAAAGGUCCAAAAGGGUAGGGGUAGUGGGAGGAGAUGGGGAGAGGGAAGAAUGGAAAGGAAAAAUUAUGAGAAAAGAAAAAAAAUGGAAACAAAGUCUAUGUAAAUAGGGAAGGGUGGAGGGGUGAAGGGCACACAGGUAAUGGGGAAAAAAUAAGAACCAAGAUACAUCAGGUAUAGGUACAAGCACCCAAUGAUAAAUGUAAACAUAUUGUAUACCUAAAAUGUACCAAUAAAAGAAUUUAAGCAAAAUAAGCCAAUAAAAUCCUUUAACCUCCUUCAAAAAAAAAAAACAAAGUUGAAUACUUCAGGAAUAUUUUUUACAUGGUAGUUGGAAAAAUUAAUUUGCAAAAUUUAAGAAAUAUUAACUCAUUUUUAACCACAAAUAUCUUGUCAAUACUACAUUUAUGCUGUGUUUACUAAGCUGCAAUCUGCCAUUUAGCUGAGAGGCACAUUUGGAAAUAGUGAAUUUCAAGAUAGAACAUUACUAAUUGCACUUAUAAUUCCAGUAAUGCCAUGUUGAUUUCUCAUUUACUGAAAGCAAGCAUAGAAAGUAAAAUACAACAUUUAAAUCAUUAGUCACUUUGUGCCUUUAUCCUUUUCCUUUUAAUUAAAUGACAAAGUUUUUGUAGUUCAGUUUUGCUGGUGACACAUUUACUCAGAUUUUGCUGUUUAGAAAAAAAAUUAUUUGCCUUAAUUUGUGAAGAAUAUUUAUGCUGGAUAAAAAUUCUAGAUUUGUCAUUUUCCUCAGCACAUUAAUAAUAUAAUUCCAAUAUUUUUGGCUUGCUUGUUUCUCAUGAGAUGUGCAUUGAUCAUUAUUAUUUUUCCCCACUGCACACAAUGUAGCUUUUUUGGGCUGCUUUCCAGAUUUCCUUUCUACCACUGGUUUUCACCAAUUUGAGUAUGAAAAGCUCUCAUGGUUCAUUGUUUUUUGUAGAUCUGUUGAUUUAUAGUUUUUAUUAACUUAGGAAAGUUUAAGUCAGUAUUUCUUCAAACUUUUUUUCUGAAUGUCUCCCUACUUACAAAUAUGAGCCUAUAUAGUAUAGAAUGGAGUCUAUUUCUACUGAAAGACUGUAAAUAUCUUUGCCUCUUUAAUUUCUUUAUAGCAUUUAUUUAGUAAUGAAUUAAUUAAUAAUUCAAAAAUGAAUCAUACAUGAAAUUAUCUGAUGUGUUACUUAUGUGUCCAGUCAUUUUUUUCAAAAGUUUUUAUUCUUCUUAAUUAAUGAAGACUACAAAUCUGAGUCUUACCCACAUUAUGAAGAAAUGUGUGAACAAUUAUUUUUCUUAAAGUAAAUUUACUACUUAUUGAAUAACUUUUAAAUAUUUAUUAUCUUGAACUUUAGGUUAAAUCAUUUCAUUCAUAAAAUGUCAUCUUUUUGAAUGUUGAGAGAGCUUUUGAGCUCUCUAUAUUGUCAUCAAUAAAUGGAGUAAUAAUAACGGUACAAUUCUCCCUAAGAAUUACUGCUGCUCAUCUCGCACAACAAAAGGGCAAACCAGGAAAGCAUACCAUCACCAUACAGAUUAAAGGCAGGGAAAGGAUCAAUCAUGAGAGCUCAUUGGUGUCGUGGAGCAAAGAUGUGACUCUUGGAGAAUAUGGCCUUAGAGACCUCCGAAGAAUUGUCUGACUUAGCUCCUGGAGGUGAUGGAAUGACUGGUUGGUGUUCCAGAGGGGAUGGGAGAAUGAAUAGGGUAAAGGGUACCUGCUUCUGAUGCUGAUGAAUACAUGUGAUGACACAUGGUUAUAUAUCUGAUCCAUGAGCCCUUACAAGCAUCUCAAGAACUAGGAUCCAUUGUGGACUUUCAUCAGCCUAGAGACUACUGAACACAUCCCGUGUCCAACAUGAAUGAGAGUCACAAUGAAUCAGCAUAUAUGUACCAUUUGGGCCAUCCAAUCUCAUACAAAAUGGGAAAAAUAUUAUGCCAGAUAUCAGAUAUAAGUUCACUAACUUUUUCAACAGAAACAUGCAGUAUUCUGACAAUUUUAUAAAUUUGAGUGCCAGAAAUUCUUUGGGAUAGUCAAUUGAUCCUAGAAUGGGAAAAUUCUGAGAGCAAUGAAGGAAGAAAGUGGGGUUGAGCCCCUUGCAAAUUCUGGUUAUGGACCAUAGACAUUCCCUUAUAUGUCACUGUUAGCCUUAGCUGUUGCCAGGCAAUAGAAGGAGACUUCUUUUGGGAAGGAAAAUAUAGAGGUCUAAGUCAAAGGGCCACAAUCACCACUCCCUGUCUAGAUCCAAGUAUAGUACUGCCUUUACUCUAGAGCAGGGUUUCUAACCUCAGCAUUAUUGAUAUCUUUAGCUGAACAAAUCUUUGCCUUAGGGGACUGCCUUCCACAUUAUAAGAUAUUUGUCAUUGUCUGUGGCCCCUGGUCCCUUCUUGGUAGACAUCUGUAGUACCCUUCUCAUAACCCUCCAGCUGUGACAACCUAAAUGUCUCAAGACAUAACCAAUGGUUUUUCUAGAGGACUGAAAGCAUCACUGGCUGAGAAGCCCUAUUUUAAGUUUAACUUAAUUCUUCCAGUAAUGUAUGAGUUUUUUUGUUUGUUUCCACUGAAUCUUCUGUGUAUUAACAGUUCUUUCUGUUUUACAGGGUCUAGAAUGUCACUGUCAUUGAGCUUUAUGUGAGCCCUGGAAAUUGCUUUUGAUGGCUUUGAAGAAGUGAUGUGACAAAACUUCCACAGUUGCAAGGAAAUGACUUCUGUCAACAAGUAUUGUAGAAAUCCACCUCAACCUGACUGUAUCCAUCAUAACUACCAUGCUUGGCCCUGAGUAACCUUGGUAUUUGGAAAGGUUUGGAGAUUUGGAAUACCGAAGCCCUAGUAUCCUGUGAGAAGAACUUUAUGUCUGAUUUUCACUAAAGAUGAGGACAUAAUGCUGAUAGGAAUAUAAAUGGUAAAAAGUAGACUGAAGAUGCUUCAUGUGUGAACAAGGGCUCUCUUUGGAAUUGAGCUAGAGGCUACUUGUGUUCCAUUCUAGCAAAGAACCUGUCAGCAUUUUCAUCCAUGUACUAAAACUUUGUAUAAAGCUGAAUUUAAAAGUUGCAUGUAAGUUUAUAUUGUGGAGAAAAUUUGAAUGUUCAGUCCAAUGUUCAGGUUGUGGAAUAGAUACUGUUGGCUACUUUGUUCUAAAUUUAUAGUGAGAGAUCAUACCAAAAAAGCAGAGCGAGAAGAUUUGAAAAACUUGGAGUUUAUUCAGAAAAGAAACAUGCAUAAAUUUGGAGCCUAAGAAAGUGUCUUUGAUGAAGAGACUAGCUUCAUUGGAAAGAAGCAAAGUAUAUGGAACUGGUUCAACAAGAAAGAUGCCAUGAGGGCAUCUCAAAAAUCAGCAAGACUCCACAGACUGUAUGCUACAACAUACAAAAGUAUAUACCUUUGAUUUGUGAAGAGAACACCUAGAUCCCUAGCUUUAGAAGGGUUUAUUAGAAAAUUGGUUCCCCAGGAUUCAUUUCACUGUGCUUAAUUGCCCAGGCACUCAGAAGCCACUCUGGCUAUAGGGGGCAGGCUAAAACUUGUAAAGGCAACAGAUUUUGCCAUUGUUCAUGUGAUGCUGUUUAUUCAUACAUGCAGAAUGCAGAAGUAUGGUGUCAGGGAGGCCACUAUUUAAAUUUAAAAAGAAGGUUUUAGAAGCCAGGCAGUGUGCUCCUGAGAGGGUAGUCCAUGAUGGUGAGGUUCUGAGGCUAAAGCUUUAAUGGAUACCACGGGAUGUAUGAGACCUCAGAACAUAGAAUGUCUGUUGAAGUAAGCCACAUGUGGCCCAAGAGAGAGGCCAGGGUCUGCAACUGGUAAAUACAGCCACAUCAUUGACUGUGUGGCUAUCCAAGCUCUCUGGAAUUUAUUUCUUAUUACUAUGUGCUCUGGAUGCUGGACAUGAAACUUCAAGUUUUAAAAUUUGUCCUCCUGGUUUUUAGCCUUGUUUUGGUCUUCUUUUUCCCCUCUAUUCCUCAAUUUUGGAAUGGGAAUAUUUUCUCUGUGUCAUAGUAUCCUGGUACAAUGGAACUUACUUUUUGAUUGUUUCACAGACUCACAGCUAAGAGUUUGCAUUGACUCUCAGAGGAGACUUAGACUUUUGAGAAAUAGUAGAACUGUUGAGAAUUUGAGGAAGAAAUUAUUGUCUUUUGCUUGUGCUUAGGAUAAGUACAUCCUUAGGAUAAGUAUUGAUGGAAUUAGUAACUGGCCAAUUUUUUUUUUAUUUGGAGAUUAAGUAUGAUUUAUGGACUGUGUUUAGGUGUCAAGUUGACAAGGGAUAGAAUGUGGUAUUCAGUCUUGAUGGUUAACUUGAUUGGCUUGACAAUUGUCCAGUGGAUCAGUAGGGUGUGUGUAGGUGAGUCAUGGAAGCGUGACAUAGAAUUGUGGUCCAAAAUUGCAUACAUUUUCCUAUAAAUGACUCAAAUUUAUCCUUCUUUAUGGAUGAGUUGUACUCUAUUGUAUAUGUAUACCACAUUUUCUUUAUCAUCUGUUGAUGAACAUACA